AAUAGGCUAAUUAAGAGCGUAAGGGGAAUGCCUUGGCUCUCAGAGGCGAUGAAGGACGUGAUAAGCUGCGAUAAGCUGUGGGGAGUGGCACAAACACUUUGAUCCGCAGAUUUCCGAAUGGGGCAACCCGGCAUAUUGAAGAUAUGUCACACUGUAAAGUGAGCAAACCUGGUGAACUGAAACAUCUAAGUAACCAGAGGAAUAGAAAACAAAAGUGAUUCCGCUAGUAGUGGCGAGCGAACGUGGAACAGCCCAAACCUAUGUUGUUACGGCAAUAUAGGGGUUGUAGGACCUCAACAUUUAAUGCUAAUAGAACUAGAAUUUACUGG
This 329-nucleotide ribosomal RNA is filed under the name uncultured Flavobacteriaceae bacterium. Its description in RNAcentral is "bacterial LSU rRNA". It matches the Rfam family "Bacterial large subunit ribosomal RNA", at positions 1 to 345 of the family's 2925-position model. The record is from RNAcentral. Lineage: Bacteria; Pseudomonadati; Bacteroidota; Flavobacteriia; Flavobacteriales; Flavobacteriaceae.